Molecule: ribosomal RNA, 3091 nt
Filed under: Raineyella fluvialis
Lineage: Bacteria; Bacillati; Actinomycetota; Actinomycetes; Propionibacteriales; Propionibacteriaceae
Description: 23S ribosomal RNA
Rfam family: Bacterial large subunit ribosomal RNA
Source: RNAcentral
UUGGGAAAGCUACUAAGGGCGAUCGGUGGAUGCCUUGGCACCAAGAGCCGAUGAAGGACGUUGUAACCUGCGAUAAGCCCCGGGGAGUUGGUAAACGAGCUGUGAUCCGGGGAUGUCCGAAUAGGGAAACCUCGAAUGUCUCCAGUCAUGUGGAGCGACCUCUACCUGAAUCUAUAGGGUAGUGGGAGGGAACGUGGGGAAGUGAAACAUCUCAGUACCCAUAGGAAGAGAAAACAAAAGUGAUUCCGUAAGUAGUGGCGAGCGAACGCGGAUGAGGCCAAACUGCGUGUGUGUGAGACCUGACAGGGGUUGCAUGCGUGGGGUUGUGGGGCCGUCUUUGACCUGGCUGUCGACGGGUCGUGGAGUCAAAAAUGUGCACUGAAGUCGAAGGAUUCUGGGAAGGUCCGGCAGAGCAGGUAAUACCCCUGUAGACGUAAGGUGUGCACUCCAUGGGGCGGUUCCCAAGUAGCACGGGACUCCUGGAAUUUCGUGUGAAUCUGGCGGGACCACCCGCUAAGCCUAAAUACUCCUUGGUGACCGAUAGCGGAUCAGUACCGUGAGGGAAUGGUGAAAAGUACCCCGGGAGGGGAGUGAAAUAGUACCUGAAACCGGUCGCCUACAAGCCGUCGGAGCCUGCGAGGGUGACGGCGUGCCUAUUGAAAAAUGAGCCUGCGAGUUAGUGGUGUGUGGCGAGGUUAACCCGUGUGGGGUAGUCGUAGCGAAAGCGAGUCCGAUAAGGGCGUUGAGUCGCAUGCUCUAGACCCGAAGCGUAGUGAUCUAUCCAUGGCCAGGUUGAAGCGACGGUAAGACGUCGUGGAGGACCGAACCCACCUAGGUUGAAAACUGGGGGGAUGAGCUGUGGAUAGGGGUGAAAGGCCAAUCAAACUACGUGAUAGCUGGUUCUCCCCGAAAUGCAUUUAGGUGCAGCGUCACGUGUUUCUUCCCGGAGGUAGAGCACUGGAUGGUCUAGGGGGCCCACAAGCUUACCGAAAUCAGCCAAACUCCGAAUGCCGGUGAAGCCAGAGCGUGGCAGUGAGACAGUGGGGGAUAAGCUUCAUUGUCGAGAGGGAAACAGCCCAGAUCAUCAGCUAAGGCCCCUAAGUGGUUACUAAGUGGAAAAGGAUGUGGAGUUGCGGUGACAACCAGGAGGUUGGCUUGGAAGCAGCCACCCUUGAAAGAGUGCGUAAUAGCUCACUGGUCAAGUGAUUCUGCGCCGACAAUUCAGCGGGGCUUAAGUAAUCCGCCGAAGCUAUGGCAUUCACACAUUGGUGUGGAUGGGUAGGGGAGCGUCGUGCACGUGGUGAAGCGGCGGGGUGACCCGGCCGUGGAGUGUGCGCGAGUGAGAAUGCAGGCAUGAGUAGCGAAUGACGGGUGAGAAACCCGUCCGCCGAAUAUCCAAGGGUUCCAGGGUCAAGCUAAUCUGCCCUGGGUAAGUCGGGACCUAAGGCGAGGCCGACAGGCGUAGUCGAUGGACAACGGGUUGAUAUUCCCGUACCGGUGUAAUGGCGCCCCUGCCGAGGCGCGCGAUGCUGAGCACGGAAGCUGUUCCCAUGUCACCUUCGGGUGGCCGGGUUCAGUGACUCUGCGACCCAGACGUGUAGUAGGCAAGCUACGGAGUGACGCAGGAAGGUAGCCCAUCCUGGGCGGUGGUUGUCCCAGGGUAAAGGUGUAGGACGAGGUAUAGGUAAAUCCGUGCCUUGUGUGUCUGAGACCUGAUGCCACUGCCACAUUCGUGUGGUGGUGUGGGUGAUCCUAUGCUGCCGAGAAAAGCUUCGUGAGCGAUGUCAUGAGCCGCCCGUACCCUAAACCGACACAGGUGGAUGAGUAGAGAAUACUAAGGCGAUCGAGAGAAUCGUGGUUAAGGAACUCGGCAAAAUACCCCCGUAACUUCGGGAUAAGGGGGCCGGAUGCGUGAUCCGCCUUUGCGUGGUGAAGCGUUGAUGGCCGCAGAGACCAGGCCCAAGCGACUGUUUAUCAAAAACACAGGUCCGUGCCAAGUCGUAAGACGAUGUAUACGGACUGACUCCUGCCCGGUGCUGGAAGGUUAAGGGGACGUGUCAACUUCGGUGAAGCACUGAACUUAAGCCCCAGUAAACGGCGGUGGUAACUAUAACCAUCCUAAGGUAGCGAAAUUCCUUGUCGGGUAAGUUCCGACCUGCACGAAUGGAGUAACGACUCGGGCACUGUCUCAACCACGAACUCGGUGAAAUUGCACUACGAGUAAAGAUGCUCGUUACGCGCAGCAGGACGGAAAGACCCCGGGACCUUUACUAUAGUUUGGUAUUGGUGAUCGGUACAGCUUGUGUAGGAUAGGUGGGAGACGUUGAAGCGGCCACGCCAGUGGUUGUGGAGUCAUUGUUGAAAUACCACUCUGGUUGUUCUGGUUAUCUAACCUCGGACCAUGAUCUGGUUCAGGGACAGUGCCUGAUGGGUAGUUUGACUGGGGCGGUCGCCUCCCAAAGAGUAACGGAGGCGCCCAAAGGUUCCCUCAGCCUGGUUGGCAAUCAGGUGUCGAGUGUAAGUGCACAAGGGAGCUUGACUGUGAGACUGACGGGUCGAGCAGGGACGAAAGUCGGGACUAGUGAUCUGACGGUGGCGUGUGGAAGCGCCGUCACUCAACGGAUAAAAGGUACCCCGGGGAUAACAGGCUGAUCUUGCCCGAGCGUCCAUAGCGACGGCAUGGUUUGGCACCUCGAUGUCGGCUCGUCGCAUCCUGGGGCUGGAGUCGGUCCCAAGGGUUGGGCUGUUCGCCCAUUAAAGCGGCACGCGAGCUGGGUUCAGAACGUCGUGAGACAGUUCGGUCCCUAUCCGCUGUGCGCGUAGGAGUCUUGAGAAGGGCUGUCCUUAGUACGAGAGGACCGGGACGGACCAACCUCUGGUGUGCCAGUUGUUCUGCCAAGAGCAUGGCUGGUUGGCUACGUUGGGAAGUGAUAACCGCUGAAAGCAUCUAAGCGGGAAGCACGCUUCAAGAUGAGGACUCCCACUUUUUGGUAAGGCCCCCAGUAGACGACUGGGUUGAUAGGUCGGAUGUGGAAGCCUAGAAAUGGGUGGAGCUGACCGAUACUAAUAGGCCGAGGGCUUACCUUACACA